This 579-nucleotide ribosomal RNA is filed under the name uncultured bacterium. RNAcentral's name for it is "bacterial SSU rRNA". It matches the Rfam family "Bacterial small subunit ribosomal RNA", at positions 338 to 917 of the family's 1533-position model. The record is from RNAcentral.
CCUACGGGAGGCAGCAGUGAGGAAUAUUGGUCAAUGGAGGCAACUCUGAACCAGCCAUGCCGCGUGAAGGAUGACGGCCCUAUGGGUUGUAAACUUCUUUUAUAGAGGAAGAAACUUGUCUACGUGUAGACAACUGACGGUACUCUACGAAUAAGGAUCGGCUAACUCCGUGCCAGCAGCCGCGGUAAUACGGAGGAUCCAAGCGUUAUCCGGAUUCAUUGGGUUUAAAGGGUCCGUAGGCGGGUCUUUAAGUCAGUGGUGAAAGCCGACAGCUCAACUGUCGAACUGCCAUUGAUACUGGAGACCUUGAGUACAAAUGAAGUAGGCGGAAUGAGUCAUGUAGCGGUGAAAUGCAUAGAUAUGACUCAGAACACCGAUUGCGAAGGCAGCUUACUAACAUGUAACUGACGCUGAGGGACGAAAGCGUGGGGAGCGAACAGGAUUAGAUACCCUGGUAGUCCACGCCGUAAACGAUCAUCACUCGCUGUUGGCGAUAUACUGUCAGCGGCCAAGCGAAAGUAUUAAGUGAUGCACCUGGGGAGUACGCCGGCAACGGUGAAACUCAAAGGAAUUGACGGA